UAAAAAAUUUUGGCGGUAUUUUAAGCUUAUUAGAGGAAUUUGCUCUGUGAUGGACACAACGCCUUAAUCUUACUUAAUUUAGUAAUUUAAAUCAGUUUGUAUACCACUAUAUUAAUUAUAUUGAAUAGUUAUAUUUAAAAUUUUUUUUUAAAAAAUAUAUUAAGUCAAGGUGCAUCUAAUAAUUAUGAAUGAAGUGAAUUACAUUAAUUUUAAUGUAAUUUUUUACAUGAAAAAAUUAAUUAGGAUUUAAUAGUAAAAUACUAAUAUUAUGAGUAUUUGAAUCAAGCUCUAAAAUAUGCACAUAUCGCCCGUCGCUCUCAGAAUUGAGAUAAGUCGUAACAAAGUAAAAAUACUGGAAAGUGUUUUUUAAAAUGAAAUCAUUCGAUGUUUCAUUUACAAUGAAAAUUUUGUUGUUUAACCAUUUUAA
RNAcentral lists this ribosomal RNA (427 nucleotides) under Ixodes scapularis (black-legged tick). Its description in RNAcentral is "partial 12S ribosomal RNA". Lineage: Eukaryota; Metazoa; Arthropoda; Arachnida; Ixodida; Ixodidae. The record is from RNAcentral.